AUGAACGCUGGCGGCGUGCCUAAUACAUGCAAGUCGAGCGAACGGACGAGAAGCUUGCUUCUCUGAUGUUAGCGGCGGACGGGUGAGUAACACGUGGAUAACCUACCUAUAAGACUGGGAUAACUUCGGGAAACCGGAGCUAAUACCGGAUAAUAUUUUGAACCGCAUGGUUCAAAAGUGAAAGACGGUCUUGCUGUCACUUAUAGAUGGAUCCGCGCUGCAUUAGCUAGUUGGUAAGGUAACGGCUUACCAAGGCAACGAUGCAUAGCCGACCUGAGAGGGUGAUCGGCCACACUGGAACUGAGACACGGUCCAGACUCCUACGGGAGGCAGCAGUAGGGAAUCUUCCGCAAUGGGCGAUAGCCUGACGGAGCAACGCCGCGUGAGUGAUGAAGGUCUUCGGAUCGUAAAACUCUGUUAUUAGGGAAGAACAUAUGUGUAAGUAACUGUGCACAUCUUGACGGUACCUAAUCAGAAAGCCACGGCUAACUACGUG
This 496-nucleotide ribosomal RNA is filed under the name uncultured bacterium. Its description in RNAcentral is "partial 16S ribosomal RNA". It matches the Rfam family "Bacterial small subunit ribosomal RNA", at positions 29 to 507 of the family's 1533-position model. The record is from RNAcentral.